This 498-nucleotide ribosomal RNA is filed under the name uncultured bacterium. Its description in RNAcentral is "partial 16S ribosomal RNA". It matches the Rfam family "Bacterial small subunit ribosomal RNA", at positions 29 to 523 of the family's 1533-position model. The record is from RNAcentral.
AUUGAACGCUGGCGGCAUGCCUUACACAUGCAAGUCGAACGGUAACGCGGGGCAACCUGGCGACGAGUGGCGAACGGGUGAGUAAUGCAUCGGAACGUGCCCGGUAGUGGGGGAUAACUGCUCGAAAGAGCAGCUAAUACCGCAUACGACCUGAGGGUGAAAGGGGGGGAUCGCAAGACCUCUCGCUAUCGGAGCGGCCGAUGUCGGAUUAGCUAGUUGGUGGGGUAAAAGCCCACCAAGGCGACGAUCCGUAGCUGGUCUGAGAGGACGACCAGCCACACUGGGACUGAGACACGGCCCAGACUCCUACGGGAGGCAGCAGUGGGGAAUUUUGGACAAUGGACGCAAGUCUGAUCCAGCCAUGCCGCGUGCGGGAAGAAGGCCUUCGGGUUGUAAACCGCUUUUGUCAGGGAAGAAAUCUUCUGAGUUAAUACCUCGGGAGGAUGACGGUACCUGAAGAAUAAGCACCGGCUAACUACGUGCCAGCAGCCGCCGUAA